GUGGUACGGUGACUUAGGUAACAAAAGAGAAAGAAAGACUGAUUUAUAUAAAGCCUUUGAGUCAGUUAGGAUAUGAGGAAUGUGGUACGGUGAAUUAGACAGGUAACAAAAGAGAAAGAAAGACUGAUUUAUAUAAAGCCUUUGAGUCAGUUAGGAUAUGAGGAAUGUGGUACGGUGAGUUAGACAGGUAACAAAAGAGAAAGAAAGACUGAUUUAUAUAAAGCCUUUGAGUCAGUUAGGAUAUGAGGAAUGUGGUACGGUGACUUGGACAGGUAACAAAAAGAGAAAGAAAGACUGAUUUAUAUAAAGCCUUUGAGUCAGUUAGGAUAUGAGGAAUGUGGUAUGGUGAAUUAGAAAGGUAACAAAAGAGAAAGAAAGACUGAUUUAUAUAAAGCCUUUGAGUCAGUUAGGAUAUGAGGAAUGUGGUACGGUGAGUUAGGUAACAAAAGAGAAAGAAAGACUGAUUUAUAUAAAGCCUUUGAGUCAGUUAGGAUAUGAGGAAUGUGGUACGGUGAAUUAGACAGGUAACAAAAGAGAAAGAAAGACUGAUUUAUAUAAAGCCUUUGAGUCAGUUAGGAUAUGAGGAAUGUGGUACGG
This is a long non-coding RNA of Protopterus annectens (West African lungfish), 597 nucleotides long. RefSeq lists it as uncharacterized. NCBI's taxonomy places the organism in Eukaryota, Metazoa, Chordata, Ceratodontiformes, Protopteridae. The transcript is spliced from 3 exons. The record is from RefSeq and is a predicted model, not a curated record.